CCCUCCCCCACCCCUCUAUAUACAUAAUCAGAAACCAGCCACAGUGUGGACAGAGAUGUCAGAGUUGAAUGUGACAGAUAGCUGGAGUGCAUCCAGAACCUAACAUACCAGGCAGGCCUGGGGCUUGGUCAGCUCUGAGGGAAGAAGAGAGUGCCAAUGUUGACACUGAAGAACCAUUAUCAAGCUUUUGUCCUCUCAGGCUCUCUGUGACUGGGAAGAUGGGGUCAUUUAAUCUCAGAGCUGCUAAGUAAUUUCCUUGAUAUUAUGGAAUUAAUGAGUGGAAGGCCAGGAUUAAAAUAAAUGAAGCAAUUGCAAUUUUUAUUUGAGGAGCAAGAACAUACAGGUGCAGAUGACUGAAGAGAUUCUGUAUGAAGAUCUAAGGCCACGGCUGGCACAAGGGCACCCCUCUUCUGGAGUCCAUAUUCUCCCUCCUGGAGGCGGGGAGGGUACACUUUUCAGGCCAUUUACCCUUCACUGUCUGCAUCCUAGCUGGCUUUGGAGACCGCUCAGUUUGUACAGUACAAUGACUGCAGUUCAUAACUUAUUAGAUAUUUUAUAAACACCUAGGCAAAAGGAAUCUGAAGGUUCCCAAUGCAAAGAAAUGACAAAUACAUGUAAUUAAGUAUCACACUAUACCCCAUAAACACAAUUAGGAUAUACCAAUAAUUAAAAGUAAAAAGGAAGAAAACAGAUGGACAUUUCUCAUUUGAAGUCUGACACAAAUUUGACUUUAUAGUCUUUCAAAUAAUUUUUAUUCUCUUUUUUUUUUUUUUUAAUUUGAAAGGCAGAGAGGCAGAGACAGAAACAAAGAGAUCAUGUGUUCACCGUUUCACUCCCCAAAUGGUAGCAAAAGCUGGGGUUGGGCCAGGCUGAAGGACUUGAGUUCUUGCCACCCAUGUGGGAGACCCAGAUUGCAUUGCAGGCUCCCAGGGUGCACAUUAGCAAGAAUCCAGAAUAUGAAAUGGGGCCAAGAUUUGAACCCAGGUACUCCAACAUAGGAUGUGAAGGGGCCCCAGGUGAGUAUUAACUAGUAGGCCAAAUGCCUGCCACAGUUGUCUGAUCUUUUCCUUUAUCCUAUAGAACUUCAAUUCUACACAUAUUAUGUGCUUGAAAAUAAGGGACAAUACUUGCUCUGCCUUCAUUAUAGCCAUAGAAUCUCUGAAUGUGCUGUGUAGAUGGGUAAAGUAUCAUAUUACUAAUUAUAGGUAUCUUUCUACCACUUAAUACAUCCCCAACACAAAUUUACUGUUUCUAUCAAUGGACAAAAUUGCUUCUGAAGACAGAUUACAUUAUUUUGAGUCUCAAUGGGCAUAUUCUGUGCAAUAGGAGACUUCAUAUUAGGUGAGAUGUUUGGAUAGCAAUUGCUAUUUAGGUAGUGAGUCUAGCUAAGACAGACUGCAUUUUCCUGAACGAUCAACAUAUGUUCAAGAAUGUAUGUAUUUACAAUAUUAUCUGAAGUGAAAUAAACAAAGACAGACAAAUACUGGAUGACCUCAUUUAUCAUGUUGUUUUGAAAUACAUAUAAAUAUAUGUAUGUAUGUACAUACAAAUAUACACAUACACACAUAUAUAUAUAUGUGUGUGUAUAUAUUGUGGAAUACCUACAUACAUACUGUA
Molecule: non-coding RNA, 1617 nt
Organism: Oryctolagus cuniculus (rabbit)
Lineage: Eukaryota; Metazoa; Chordata; Mammalia; Lagomorpha; Leporidae
Source: RefSeq, a predicted model, not a curated record